RNAcentral lists this ribosomal RNA (253 nucleotides) under uncultured bacterium. RNAcentral describes it as "partial 16S ribosomal RNA". It matches the Rfam family "Bacterial small subunit ribosomal RNA", at positions 524 to 776 of the family's 1533-position model. The record is from RNAcentral.
UACGUAGGGGGCUAGCGUUGUCCGGAAUCAUUGGGCGUAAAGAGCGUGUAGGCGGCCCGGUAAGUCCGCUGUGAAAGUCAAAGGCUCAACCUUUGAAUGUCAGCGGAUACUGCCGGGCUAGAGUCCGGAAGAGGCGAGUGGAACUCCCGGUGUAGCGGUGAAAUGCGCAGAUAUCGGGAGGAACACCAAUGGCGAAGGCAGCUCGCUGGGACGUUACUGACGCUGAGACGCGAAAGCGUGGGGAGCAAACAGG